AACGCUGGCGGCGGCUUAAUAAUGCAAGUCGAGCGCUCGUAGCAAUACGGGAGCGGCAGACGGGAGAGUAACACGUGGGAACGUACCCUUCGGUUCGGAAUAACCCAGGGAAACUUGGGCUAAUACCGGAUACGUCCGUAAGGAGAAAGAUUUAUCGCCGAGGGAUCGGCCCGCGUCCGAUUAGCUUGUUGGUGAGGUAAUGGCUCACCAAGGCGACGAUCGGUAGCUGGUCUGAGAGGAUGAUCAGCCUCACUGGGACUGAGACACGGCCCAGACUCCUACGGGAGGCAGCAGUAGGGAAUAUUGGACAAUGGGCGCAAGCCUGAUCCAGCCAUGCCGCGUGAGUGAUGACGGCCUUAGGGUUGUAAAGCUCUUUCGGCGGGGAAGAUAAUGACGGUACCCGCAGAAGAAGCCCCGGCUAACUUCGUGCCAGCAGCCGCGGUAAUACGAAGGGGGCUAGCGUUGCUCGGAAUCACUGGGCGUAAAGCGCACGUAGGCGGGUCCUUAAGUCAGGGGUGAAAUCCUGGAGCUCAACUCCAGAACUGCCUUUGAUACUGAGGAUCUCGAGUUCGGGAGAGGUGAGUGGAACUGCGAGUGU
This 598-nucleotide ribosomal RNA is filed under the name uncultured bacterium. Its description in RNAcentral is "bacterial SSU rRNA". It matches the Rfam family "Bacterial small subunit ribosomal RNA", at positions 32 to 676 of the family's 1533-position model. The record is from RNAcentral.